UAGCUCAAAUGGUAAAGCAUCUGCCUACAAUGCAGGAGACCCAGGUUUGAUCCCUGG
This 57-nucleotide transfer RNA is filed under the name Ovis aries (sheep). It matches the Rfam family "tRNA", at positions 8 to 63 of the family's 71-position model. Rfam says of the family: Transfer RNA (tRNA) molecules are approximately 80 nucleotides in length. Their secondary structure includes four short double-helical elements and three loops (D, anti-codon, and T loops). Further hydrogen bonds mediate the characteristic L-shaped molecular structure. tRNAs have two regions of fundamental functional importance: the anti-codon, which is responsible for specific mRNA codon recognition, and the 3' end, to which the tRNAs corresponding amino acid is attached (by aminoacyl-tRNA synthetases). tRNAs cope with the degeneracy of the genetic code in two manners: having more than one tRNA (with a specific anti-codon) for a particular amino acid; and 'wobble' base-pairing, i.e. permitting non-standard base-pairing at the 3rd anti-codon position. Lineage: Eukaryota; Metazoa; Chordata; Mammalia; Artiodactyla; Bovidae. The record is from Rfam by way of RNAcentral.